AAGUAUAAAGCAAAAAAAGCAAUUAGUUUCGACCUAAUAAAAUGAAAAACUCAUUUACUUU
Molecule: transfer RNA, 61 nt
Filed under: Halotydeus destructor
Lineage: Eukaryota; Metazoa; Arthropoda; Arachnida; Trombidiformes; Penthaleidae
Description: tRNA-Arg
Source: RNAcentral